CCUACGGGUGUCAGCAGUGGUGAAUAUUGCACAAUGGGGGAAACCCUGAUGCAGCGACGCCGCGUGAGUGAAGAAGUAUUUCGGUAUGUAACGCUCUAUCAGCAGGGAAGAAAAUGACGUUACCUGACUAAGAAGCCCCGGCUAACUACGUGCCAGCAGCCGCGGUAAUACGUAGGGGGCAAGCGGUAGCCGGAGUUACUGGUUGUAAAGGGAGCGUAGACGGCCAGACAAGUCAGAAGUGAAAGCACAGGGCUCAACCCUGGGACUGUUUUUGAAACUGGCGGGCUGGCGUGCAGGAGAGGUAAGCGGAAUUCCGAGUGUAGCGGUGACAUGCGUAGAUAUUAGGAGGAACACCAGUGGCGAAGGCGGCUUACUGGACUGUAACUGACGUUGAGGCUCGAAAGCGUGGGGAGCAAACAGGAUUAGAUACCCUAGUAGUC
This 440-nucleotide ribosomal RNA is filed under the name uncultured bacterium. RNAcentral's name for it is "partial 16S ribosomal RNA". It matches the Rfam family "Bacterial small subunit ribosomal RNA", at positions 338 to 795 of the family's 1533-position model. The record is from RNAcentral.